UCUAAUGUGGCAGAUUAGUGCGAUGGUCUUAAACUCCAUAAAUAAAGUAAUAACCUUUCUUUAGAA
Molecule: transfer RNA, 66 nt
Filed under: Elmis aenea
Lineage: Eukaryota; Metazoa; Arthropoda; Insecta; Coleoptera; Elmidae
Description: tRNA-Leu
Rfam family: tRNA
About the family: Transfer RNA (tRNA) molecules are approximately 80 nucleotides in length. Their secondary structure includes four short double-helical elements and three loops (D, anti-codon, and T loops).
Source: RNAcentral